AUACGGAGGGGACAAGCGUUAUUCGGAAUCACUGGGCGUAAAGGACGCGUAGGCGGGUUAUUAAGUCGGGUGUGAAUCCUACAGCUCAACUGUAGAACUGCAUUCGAAACUGAUAACCUAGAGUAUGGAAGGGGCAGGUGGAAUUAGUGGUGUAGGGGUAAAAUCCGUAGAUAUCACUAGGAAUACCGAAAGCGAAGGCGACCUGCUGGGACAUUACUGACGCUGAGGCGUGAAAGCGUGAGGAGCAAACAGGAUUAGAUACCCUAGUAGUCC
This 273-nucleotide ribosomal RNA is filed under the name uncultured bacterium. RNAcentral's name for it is "partial 16S ribosomal RNA". It matches the Rfam family "Bacterial small subunit ribosomal RNA", at positions 523 to 796 of the family's 1533-position model. The record is from RNAcentral.